Nothobranchius furzeri (turquoise killifish) is the source of this 1933-nucleotide long non-coding RNA. Lineage: Eukaryota; Metazoa; Chordata; Actinopteri; Cyprinodontiformes; Nothobranchiidae. The record is from Ensembl.
UGUUGGAAGUGGGGUGGCAGGAGAGCAGGAGUUUGCCAUGAAGUCCGUGGGCACGAGGACCACCCUGCCCCGAGCCCCUCCUCUAUCUCGCCGUUGCCCUACCGACCGCAGCUGCAGCGCUGAACGACUGCCACGCCCUCCAGCGACCAUUUCAGAUGGGACGGCAUCAAGCGAUGAACGCAGGAGCAUUAGUAUCGGGACAGCGAUCUGCACUGACCGACCCACUGAAACAGCCUCCUCUACCAACACUGAAUGCACCAUGACGGCCCAAUCCAACAACAACCAGUUGGACUGCGGCACCGCAGCUGUCAGGAGGGAGUGGGAAAGGGAGAGGCAGCGUGAGAGGGGGAGAGACCGGGACCGGGAUCGAGACUGGGACCGGGAGAGGUUAGAGAGGGAGCGUGAGAGGGAAAGGAACCGGGAGAGGGAGCGUGAGCGAGUGGAGAGGGAAAGGCUGGAACGUGAGAGGGAGCGAGAGAGGGAGAGAGCCAGGGAGAGGGAGAGAGAACGGAUUGAGAGGGAAAAGAUAGAAAGAGAGAGGGAACGAGAGAGGGAGAGAGAACGAGAGCGAGAAAGGGAGAGGCUGGAGAAUGAGAGGAUGGAGAGGGAGAGAGAGAGAGAGAGGGAAAUGCAGGUGGCAGGUUUGGAUGUUUGUGGGAACAUUGUUGGUCGGGAGAAGACCAGCGUUGGCGUGAACCACCACCCGCACAGAGAGAUGGCUGCAACCAGAACUGAUAAUGAAAACAACCCAGUGGGCCACAACCCUCCAAACCACAACCCGCCCAAGAUCAUGGCAGUGUCCGGAAAACUGGAGCAGGUACAUCCACAUCUAGGACAGCAACCCGAAGGUCUGCCCUUUAAGGGGGAGUAGCAGUAGUAGUCAGUGUCAUACCUGCAGAAGAAAACAGGCAGGAGGAUCUCAGUUUGGAGAAUCAUGCCUCAUUUACACCGAGUACAGAAUGAAUUUGGUCCGGUGUCCGGACGGCUUCUGACAGCCAUAUACGCUGACGUCUCCCGCGAGAGCACCAUAACUCGGGGGUUCACACAAGUUCACGUUACAAAUUUGACAUAAGAUAUAAGAGUUCUGUGAUCUGUGGACUGAUGUCGCUGUCAAAAGAAAUGCAACACGGGUUUCAUCUUGAAAUAAACGGGAUGCACCACAAUAACACAUGCCUCACCUCCUUUCUGGCUCAUGUAAUUUCUUUAAUUUCUUCACAAUCUGCAUGUGGUGUUCAGAAUUAUUAGACUCCAUGUGGAAACUUCCCAGAGCUCUGCAUCGGGAUCUGCAGCCUGUUUGAAGGCAGUGAUUGGACUCAGUGAGUUUUGGUCUUUGCAGAAGCCGCAUGGAAAACGGACUGCAUCAGUACUCGGUGGGAAUGAGGCGAAAUCAGGGAGGCCUUCCAAUUUUCAGCCUUUCAGGGACACAGCUAGCAACAAAGUCCAGCAAAUUUUUGAUACUAGUUUUUUUGGUACUGUUGUUUGUGGAUCUGCUCGGGGUCCAGAAGGAAACAUGUCAUCCCCCAGAGACUUGGACCCGUGCCCGAUGUACUUUAGACCCAAUUUUUUGUUAUAUGAUACAAAGUCACUCAAAUUUUUCAUUGAUGACAUUACUUUAUUCAUUUUCAUCAACAUUUCGAUGGAUAUUUCCAGAGAUUAUUAGCGCUAGACAAUUUUUGUUAUUAAUUAGAAAAAAAAAUUUAAACGACACAAAUUAUUACAGAACAUUUUGAAAUUAUGUUACAUAGCUGUAACAUAACCCUCAGAUAGUUUAUAGUUUAUAAUACUUAAACAGCAUAAAGCAAGCACAUCCCCAGUGAGUCGUGGAGGAUGGCUGCUUAUACUGAGCCAGGAUUCUCUGGAGGUUUCUUCCUGUUAAAAGGGAGUUUUCCUCUCCACUGUCGCUGCAUGCUUGCUUAGUAUGAGGAUUGCUGUA